UGGGGAAUUGUUCGCAAUGGGCGCAAGCCUGACGACGCAACGCCGCGUGGAGGAUGAAAAUCUUCGGGUCGUAAACUCCUGUCGAGUGGGAAAAAUAGUUUCCGGGCGAAUAUCCCGGGAGCCUGACGGUACCACUAAAGGAAGCCCCGGCUAACUUCGUGCCAGCAGCCGCGGUAAUACGAAGGGGGCUAGCGUUGUUCGGAUUUACUGGGCGUAAAGGGCGCGUAGGCGGUGCAAUAAGUCAGGCGUGAAAGCCCCGGGCUCAACCCGGGAAUUGCGCUUGAUACUGUUGCGCUUGAAUCCAGGAGAGGAUGGCGGAAUUCCCAGUGUAGAGGUGAAAUUCGUAGAUAUUGGGAAGAACACCAGUGGCGAAGGCGGCCAUCUGGCCUGGAAUUGACGCUGAGGCGCGAAAGCGUGGGGAGCAAA
RNAcentral lists this ribosomal RNA (426 nucleotides) under uncultured bacterium. RNAcentral describes it as "bacterial SSU rRNA". It matches the Rfam family "Bacterial small subunit ribosomal RNA", at positions 355 to 772 of the family's 1533-position model. The record is from RNAcentral.